UCUACAGCAUAAUGAUCAGAAAAGAAAAAAGGAUCAGAAAAACAUGUAUAAAUUCAGAAUUUCACCAUUUCGGGGGCUUAAGACUCUACAGAACUAUGGAAUCUCACACACUGCCUGCGCUGCAGCACCCUGGUAUAUACCAGGUCCACCACAUUGCUCAGACAAAACAGAACAUCCUGAGGUGUAAAGAGGCAGAAAAUCUGCUACGCACCUUGACGGGUUGCUCUCAAAGCUAAUAAAAAUAAGUUAGAUAUAUCUUUUUACAUGACAGGAAGCAAAGGCAGGGAGCUCCUUCCCCAGCUGACGUGCCUAUAUUUAUGUAACAUUGCAGAAGCAAGAAACGGUCUCCCUUUUCCCUCCUCUCACCACCACCAAUAUUGCAGGAAAAAAAAUCUACCAAAGAGACCCUUCUCGCCCUGCUGAAGGACUCCUGGAUUGUCAUCAUCCUCCUCCACAUCCUUUUAGGAUACUGUUCCCCUCUUAGAAACACGAGAUCUGCAUUUCCCAUCCCUCGGCACACAGGACAAUGGACUGCUGGUAUCUCCUGCACUACACCUGGGACCUAUUAAAAUGUUACUGGUGAACUUCACUUCAACCCAAGAAGGACUUGCCAGUAGUCUGUCCCGGUUCUUUUAAGUGUUCUCCUUUAAAUCCUUCAGGAGAACCAGCAGGAGCUUCCCCAAAGCGACAUGCACCAGUUUCUGCCUCAACAUUACCAAAAUUCAUAUCAACACUACUUUUGCCUUCCCUUCUCCCCUUCCUUUGUGCUUUUCCUGUGAGAAAUCUCAGCCUCGCUCAUUGCCAGGAGUUCUUCUGUAGUCUAUUGUUGUCGCUUACUAGAUCUUUCCUACUGAAAACUUUCAAAGACAAAAAUAACUCAGAGUGUUGCCACAACACAUAAAAAAAAGCUGAAUGAGUUUGAGCAGGAUCCCUCUGUAGUUCAGGAAUUUCGGAGUCUGAGAUUAGUGGAGACUGGUAGGAAAACCAGAAUAAAUUGUAAUUAUUUAUUAAAGAUCAAAGUUCUUUAUUUUUGUUGGCUUCGUCUUGCUAAAUGAUCACAUGAAAAUAUUACAUGGGGUUUUACAUGAAAACCAAAAGACUUACCUGAAUUCAUAGCCUAAAUGAAGGUCAGAAGCAGGUACCAAGAGAACACCUGCAAGAACAGCCUCCAAGAACCAGUGCAGCAUCUCCCCGCAGCAGCUAACUUAUUCCUCUGUUCAUUGAUUGGUCAUAUAUGGUAUAUAUGACCCACAGUAAAUUCAGGAUACAACAGUCUAUUACUUUAAUCUCAUGCUGGCAUGAAAACUGAGUUUCAGUACUAUCCUUACUUAAUUUGAACAUACAUGCCAAAUACUUCAUCAAAAUAGUUAUCCUCAAAUUUGAUUAUAUAUCUUUUUUUAUAUUAUAUUUUUAUAUAUUUAUAUUUUUAUAUAUUUUUAUAGUACUCUUCCUUUUACUUGAUACAUCUUCAUCCUGCUAUAUCAAUACAUCACAGAAUUUAUUAUCCUAAUUAUAAAAAAAUCCCCUCAUGUUGAAUUGUCCAUAUGAGAAUAUCUCACAUUCAUCAGAUUCUAAAUCACCAAAACUCAUUUUGCUUUUGCAAUUGAAAAGCCGAAUAUUUCACGCAUGUUAACAGAACUAAAACCCUUGCUAGCAUGAUUUUAGACGAACCUUCAGACUGAACUGCCCCGCUAGUUCUUAUUUUACUUAGUCUGAUACAGUUUGUACAGUCAUCAUGAGGUAUCCUACAGAACAAAUUUCUCGCAUAUAUAUAGGUUUAUAUAUAAACCCAUAUGUGAGUUUACAUAAAUGGUACUUAAACAAUGAAGAUUUUAAUCACUAUUUUUCUGAAACCUUGCAUUCAGUUAUUAUUUUUACCACAUUUUGAUUUUAUGCCACUUCAAAAAAUUUGUAGUUCAACCCAGUACAGGGAAUUUGCACAAGAAACCUUGGGGUGGGGUGGUAUUAAUGUCAUUCUGCUAAUUAUGGGGCUUAUUCUUCAAGACUGAAAUGUUCUCUCUCCAGAAGAGUAACCGACAGCAACCCUUGCACUUCACCCUGUGCUCAGCACUUCCAUAGCUGAACACAGAGACCUCCAUAUUCAUGACAAUGAAAUAAUUCAUACCUUGACUGACAAAAGGAGACUUUAACCCACUUUUGGCAGAGAUAUAUUUUAUUUUAGAUGUCAGAAACUGGAAUUCUGCUCCCUUACCCCCAGUUCAGAAGAAACAUAGCUACGCGAACUCCUCCUUGCUUUGCUCCCGGACCUCAAGAGCUCCCUCCUUGGACCCCUCUGAGUCCAGUUCCCAAAAAGCUUUUACCAGCAGUAACUGCAGCUCUUGGCCAUGAUUUUGCAUCUCAGAGGAGCUCCAUCUCUGGGUGAUCACCACAGCACCCACCAGAACACAAAUGUGAUCCCAACUCUGUCUUCUUUAGGAAAUUGGGGAGGAAAUAUUCUUCCUAAGAGGUAACACCUCCUGGGAGCACAGCAGCUCACCAAACUAAUUUCAAAGUCAGACUGCAUGAUCAGCCUUGAGUUUCUCUGCAGCUAAGACCUUCAAGUGAGUUAUUGAACUAAAUCAUACUACUUAACAAGUUUCCAUACAUAAAUAAUUGUCAUUAAUAGUAAACGCGGAGUCUUCAGUGUCCAGGCGGGGCUCAACAGUAGGCAAACACUGACACAUACCCAUGAUGAAUGUGGAGAUUUCUAAAUUACACUUAUGAAAGGUAUCUAUCACUCAGUUCAUCCACACACUGAUACACUCUGUGACAGAAGGGUUAAAAUCCUUUCGCUAGGAGAGAAGACCGAAAAAGCAAUAGCUAACACCUGGCAGAUCAAGUCCCAGCUGACACUAACUAGUUUUCUAAACUAAUCAUCACAGCACGUGAUCAUCUAAGUAUUACUUUUCAUCAUCUGUAAGUACAUGCAAAGAGAUUUAAGACAUGAAACAUGUAUCUGGCUGAGGAUUCGGCUGCUCCACAUAUACCAAGGCUGACAAAACCACGGCCGUGUCUGAUGGAGAAGCAGGUAAUGCUGCCAGCACAGACAAAAGUUCUUCAACGCUGCAGCCCAAGAACAGAACGUGCUGCAUUCGAGGUGACUAAUAAACAUUGGCUUGUUUUGAAAAGGUCACCAUGUGUUGCGGUAAGAGUCCCCCUCUCUGCAUACCUCCCCACGAGCCCAAAUCUUGCUUGGGAGUUUAAGUUCUUUUGCUGGAAAAAUGGUGAUAAAAACAAGCGGCUGAAGCCAGCACCCCAGUCUGUGAUCAUGGGGUUCAUCCUUGAGGAGAUAAAUAAAAAAGAAGGAAGGAGGAGCUGAAGCUAAAAAAACAGGAGACCAUAUAACAAUCAGGAACACAGUACUCUCUCUGGCACGCUGACAAUCACCUGGAAAGAUUGCAUUACUUGGCAAACAGAAAACGGAAUACUUUCCACUCCUACCCUGUAUUCCUUUUUGGUGCUUCACUCUAUCACAUUGCUCUGCCUCUUCACCCUUUUCCUAUUCUUGUUCCAUUUCUUUGCUACUAGAGGCAUCUUCGUCAAACAAAAAGUUUGUGGAAACAUCCGAGAACCUGUAAACGUCAAUUUAGAACAAUUUGGUCUUCAAAGUUUUUAAGAAAACACAAGAAAACUGAUAUCUAGGAUAGAUAUUCAUGGAAUUCAUCAAACUUUAACUUGUGGUCCACUAAAAUCUUGAUUAAUGCUUAAAUAAGACCUUUAACAGAUAAAGUUUGGAGUUGUUAUAAAUCUCAGUCUCACAAAAGCUUUAUGUGGAAUUUUAAAAUAUAAUAAUCAGAUUAUAUUUUCUUCUGUCAUGUCAUUUUGGC
Long non-coding RNA from Columba livia (rock pigeon), 3827 nucleotides. RefSeq lists it as uncharacterized. NCBI's taxonomy places the organism in Eukaryota, Metazoa, Chordata, Aves, Columbiformes, Columbidae. The transcript has 4 exons. The record is from RefSeq and is a predicted model, not a curated record.